GGGUAACCUACCCAUCAGAGGGGGGUAACACUUGGAAACAGGUGCUAAUACCGCAUAACAGUUUAUGCCGCAUGGCAUAAGAGUGAAAGGCGCUUUCGGGUGUCGCUGAUGGAUGGACCCGCGGUGCAUUAGCUAGUUGGUGAGGUAACGGCUCACCAAGGCCACGAUGCAUAGCCGACCUGAGAGGGUGAUCGGCCACACUGGGACUGAGACACGGCCCAG
RNAcentral lists this ribosomal RNA (222 nucleotides) under uncultured bacterium. RNAcentral's name for it is "partial 16S ribosomal RNA". It matches the Rfam family "Bacterial small subunit ribosomal RNA", at positions 119 to 334 of the family's 1533-position model. The record is from RNAcentral.